GGCAUUCCUAGGUUUGGAAGGAUAAAUCCCAUGGGAAGUCAGCUGAAGAACAUUUUAUGCAUCGCUCAUCCUGUUAUGAUCCCGUGUUGCACCAUCUCUCUACAAGG
Loxodonta africana (African savanna elephant) is the source of this 107-nucleotide non-coding RNA. The record is from Rfam. NCBI's taxonomy places the organism in Eukaryota, Metazoa, Chordata, Mammalia, Proboscidea, Elephantidae.